RNAcentral lists this long non-coding RNA (2685 nucleotides) under Durio zibethinus. RNAcentral's name for it is "long non-coding RNA (DZIB_LNC000147)". The record is from RNAcentral. Lineage: Eukaryota; Viridiplantae; Streptophyta; Magnoliopsida; Malvales; Malvaceae.
UUCCAUUCUCACUUUUUUUCCCUCUCUUUUCCCAUUUUCUCCUCGAUUUUUGUUUCUAAUUUUCUUGUUGUGUUUCAAAAAUUAAAUAUAUCUGAUGAUGAUUUAUUCGUUCAUUAGUUUGUGCAUUUGAUUUAAUAAUUAACUUUUUAUAUGUAAUAUUUGAGAAAGAUUAUAGUUUUUCUUGUCUAUACUUAUAUAAUAAAGGAGUCCCUGACUCUAAUUUCGGGGGAGAAAAAACGAAUGUCUUAAAAAAAGAUUAGGGGGUAAUUUUCGGAAUAAAAACUUUUACAUUUGCCGGAAGUGGAUACCAGAAGAACAAGGAAGAAGUUUCUGGAGACAAAGCCUAGAAACCACCGAUUAUCUUCAAGCCUUUUUUGUCUUCCUGUUUUCCUUUUCUCGAAAAUUUCUCUAAAAAUUAUCUUCAAAAGAUCAAAAAUCGACCUCCUUCUCUCUUUGUUUCAAACCUUGCUAAGACAAAAAAAAAAAAAAACUUGCAACGAAGCCCAGAAGUCGAGCGAUGAAAGCCAAUGUUCUCGGUGGUCUGCCAUCGUCGCUUUCGCCUUUCGCGGUCACCUCCAGCAGUUUAGCUUCUUUGCCCAAACCCCAGAAGUGAAACUAGAAAACUCCAAAUUUUAAAUGAAACCCAUAGAAAAAACCUUGGCCUUUUUUUUAUUCUUUCUUUGCAAUAUUAUUUUCUUUGUAGUUGGUUCUGUGAAUUUUUUUAGUGAUUGCUUGAAGUUUGCCAUGUUAGGGAUUGUUUGUCUCUAGUUGGAUUUGCUCGGUUUGAUUGGGUUUCUAGAUUUGAGCUCUUAUGUGUAAUUGCUGAUUGCGAGGUUGAUGACUAGGCUUAUUGUUUUUUAAUUGGUGGUUUUUUAUUGUAGAAAUUAUGUUGGUCUCGAUUGCUUUUGUUUCUGCCUCAGAUUGUUUCUUUUGUGGCUGAUUGCUUUGUGUUUCUCUAUUGGAUAAAUUGUUUAUGGGUAUUGAUGAAUUACUUGAACUAUUACGUUUCUGAUCUUUGGAAAGAACAGACUUUAUUAGAAAAUCUACAACUAAGGCUUUUACAACCUUGACUUGCUGAUGGGUUUGAAUCAAGGCUUCUUAUGCAUUUCUUUUUCCCUUCUUCUUCUUUUUUUUUUUUUUCCUAAUCUUUUUAAUCCAGAUCUAGCUCUGAUUUCUCCAUAGAGGUGAAAUUUUUAAAUUUUGAGUCGAUCUUCAAUUUUGAGUAUGAACCCGAGCUAUCCUUCUUCUGUUAUGUAGCUUACAAUGUCGUUUUAGGCUUUGCAUGAUAAGCAACUGAUUUGCACGUGAUAAAAGAUUACAUUUUUUUGAGGUGAUUAAAUUUAGAAAACAUAAAGAGAAAAGAAGUGGAUUUAAAGUGAAUUUCAUUUAUUUUUAGUUAUUUGGAUCGAGAAAAGAGAUGAAAUUGCAAAUCUUAUCAUUACAAAAAAUUUCAUUCCUUUUUAACCUUUAUGACUAUAGAAUUUUGCUACUCUUUAAUUUGGCAUGCUUAAUUUUUAUUUCUUCUUAGUCUAAGUUUUUCUGCUCUAGCAUUUUGCCUAAUUCUCGAAUUUUCAAUUUUUUUAUGGUUAAUUUCUUUGAGAGUUAUAAUCUAACCCAGUUGAGCAUCAAAUCUUAAUUGGAGGUUGAUGUUACUAAUAUGAUCAAAUAUAAUGUUUGAAUGGUAUUGCUGAAAAUUUCCGAAACUUCUGCAGUGGUAAUAUGGACACAGGGCAUUUUCUAUUUACCCCUUUUGUCAUCUUCCUGUGAAUUCACAUAUGAGUUUUUCUUUUUAGAUUUCUCAUGCCGUUUUGUUUCUAAUGAAAUGGGCAAUAUGACUAAGUGUUGGUUUGCAUCUUGCACAAGCUCUAGAAUACUGCUCCAGCAAAAGAUGUGCCCCGUAUCAUGAUCUAAAUGCUUAUAAAAUAGUUUUUGAUGAUGUAUGUUAUUUUAAAUUUUUUUUUCUUUCAUAGUUAGAAAUUAGUAUAAUUUCAUCAGUUAUGCAUAUUAAUUUUAGGAGGCAACCCUAGACUUUCAUGCUUUGGUCUGAUGAAGAACAGUAGAGAUGGAAAAAGUUACAACACAAAACUAGCUUUUACUCCUCUUGAGUAUUUAAGGACAGGUGCUUAUUCUCUUUAACAAGCAAUAAGCCUUUUUACUUGCAUGCUAAUCUUUACUUAGUAGCAACAUAUUUGGAAUUUUAUGGUUGUAUUUAUGGCCCUGCCUGUUGAAUACCCAUGAAUUAAACCCAAUUACGACUUGCUAAUCAAGCUCUUAAAAUAGGAUUUCCGCCUUUGACUUAUUUUUCUUAGUUAUCUACCUCACUUUAUCACUUUAUGCAAUAUGUUAUAAUUACGAGUUGCUAACCAAGCUCUUAAAAUAGGAUUUCCGCCUUUGACUUAUUUUACUUAGUUAUCUACCUCACUUUAUGCAAUAUGUUAUACUUUAGUGCCUUACAUGUAGAGAAUUACCAUUUUCCUUUGUUCAUGCAAGUCACUUUCUUUUAGGGCAUUAUACAUUAUUUAUAUGACAAGUAGAUUUUAUAGAAGGUAUCUGUUCUUUAGGACGUACUGUGUACUACCUUUUGAAUAGAAUGCUAUUUAGAAAUACUAUUUGUAUGGGACUACAAAUAUGCUAUAUGUUGUUUAUAAAUGUAGAUGUGGUAACAUUUGUUAUUGCUGUUCACUC